This 251-nucleotide ribosomal RNA is filed under the name uncultured bacterium. RNAcentral describes it as "partial 16S ribosomal RNA". It matches the Rfam family "Bacterial small subunit ribosomal RNA", at positions 526 to 776 of the family's 1533-position model. The record is from RNAcentral.
CGUAGGGUGCAAGCGUUCAUCGGAAUUACUGGGCGUAAAGCGUGCGCAGGCGGUUAUGUAAGACAGAUGUGAAAUCCCCGGGCUCAACCUGGGAACUGCAUUUGUGACUGCAUAGCUUGAGUGCGGCAGAGGGGGAUGGAAUUCCGCGUGUAGCAGUGAAAUGCGUAGAUAUGCGGAGGAACACCGAUGGCGAAGGCAAUCCCCUGGGCCUGCACUGACGCUCAUGCACGAAAGCGUGGGGAGCAAACAGG